UCCUCGAUGGUCUAGUGGUGAUGAUUUCCGCUUGUCAUUAAUAAACAAUGUCGAGCGCGGGAGACCAGGGUUCGAUUCCCUGUCGGGGAG
Molecule: transfer RNA, 90 nt
Organism: Blastomyces gilchristii SLH14081
Lineage: Eukaryota; Fungi; Ascomycota; Eurotiomycetes; Onygenales; Ajellomycetaceae
Rfam family: tRNA
About the family: Transfer RNA (tRNA) molecules are approximately 80 nucleotides in length.
Source: Rfam